GACGAACGCUGGCGGCGUGCUUAACACAUGCAAGUCGAGCGGUAAGGCCCUUUCGGGGGUACACGAGCGGCGAACGGGUGAGUAACACGUGGGUGACCUGCCCUCAGCUCUGGGAUAAGCCCGGGAAACUGGGUCUAAUACCGGAUAUGACUCCAUGACGCAUGUUGUGGGGUGGAAAGCCUUGUGCGGCUGAGGAUGGGCCCGCGGCCUAUCAGCUUGUUGGUGGGGUGAUGGCCACCAAGGCGACGACGGGUAGCCGGCCUGAGAGGGCGACCGGCCACACUGGGACUGAGAUACGGCCCAGACUCCUACGGGAGGCAGCAGUGGGGAAUCUUGCGCAAUGGGCGAAAGCCUGACGCAGCGACGCCGCGUGAGGGAUGAC
This 382-nucleotide ribosomal RNA is filed under the name uncultured bacterium. RNAcentral's name for it is "bacterial SSU rRNA". It matches the Rfam family "Bacterial small subunit ribosomal RNA", at positions 28 to 412 of the family's 1533-position model. The record is from RNAcentral.